RNAcentral lists this long non-coding RNA (585 nucleotides) under Zalophus californianus (California sea lion). RNAcentral's name for it is "lncRNA (ENSZCAG00015024998.1)". Lineage: Eukaryota; Metazoa; Chordata; Mammalia; Carnivora; Otariidae. The record is from RNAcentral.
GGAAAUGAGCAGGUGCUAGAGCAGUGGUGAGAAUAUCUCCCAUCAGGGAGCCCCAUGGUCAGGCAGAGACCAGAAUGGGAGAAUGUUCCUCAUCUUCCAGGAACAACAGUAAGCCCAUGUGAUGGAAGCCAGCUGAGAGACAGAGAAACAAUGUGAGAUCCAAGAAAUUAUGGGGUUUUCCCUAAAAGCUGUGCGUGGAAGGUUUGCCAGCAAAUUGGUAGAUCUACCUGACUUGGACAAGGCAUCACAAAUGCCUAGAAAUUCUGGAUAAAUUCUUAUAAAAGAUAUUUGGUAAUCCCUAAUCAAGUUAAAAGAAAGAGGAGGAAGUCAUAAGAUGAGAGAAAUUAAGAGAAAAAUCUAGGCCAGAACAAUAAGUAGGAGCGGUGAGGCCCAGUGAGCCCCACGUACAGGCCCUGGGCCAAGGGCUGGCAUAUUGCCCGUGUGGCGCGGGUGGGAUGAGCAGGACCCACUGAAGGGGGGCUGGAGCGGAUCUUCCUGCAUAGAGCCCAGAGCCUUCAGGGGCUACUCCUUCGGAAAAACCUCUCUAGCUACUCUCUAGGGAAGCAGCAAGGAAGUUACACUUGG